UGUUUAGCAGUUUUAUUUUCUGAUAAGAAGUCUUUUACAAAAUAUUAUUUAUACAUUAUUAAUUUUUUAUACAAUGUCAGAUCCAAAGCUAACUGUGCUUCCCCUGAUCCCAAAAGGAGUUGAAGGCAAGUCAUGGAGAACUCUCGACUCCACUCCUGUAUUGCAAGAAACACUUCGAGACUUUCUAGAAGAGGACAUUACAAGGUGUCGUAUGAAAGAAAGGGAAAAGAUCGUAAAAGAAUACAUACCUGCGCUCCAGCAAAUUGGCGAAGUCGAAAACCAGAUGCUUGCAGUUCAAGCAGUGAAUGCAAGAACUCUGGAGCGGCAUGAUGAUAAGGAACUAAAGUUACAAUGCCCAACCUUGCCAAAGUCAAUCAAUCUCGUAAAUCUUCCAAAAGUCGGAAGAGCUAAGUACAAUUUGCUGACAACCGCUGAAAUUCAAGAAACGAUCUGUAAUGAAUUAGGAGAUCCAUCUAGAUGGGCACUAAAAGAUUUUCCUAGUUUCUCUAAAAACGAACUGCUUGGUACUUAUGAAAGAAAAAAACAAUUGGAACCAUGCUCUGAAGGUUUCAAGAAAAGAGCGAAGGCUAAAAAAUACAAAGCAAACCCGGUUUUUGAAUUUUCACCCAAAGAGAUUCAUUUCACAGAGCAUCAGAUUGGAGGGCGAUAUAUUAAAAAACUAAAUAUAAUGAACCGCUCAGCAAGAUCGGUCAAAUUUUAUGUGACACUAUCUGACUCUUCCAAAGUGUUUGAUGUACAAUAUGAAAAUAUGGAUGCUAUGGUUAUGCUUGCAUCAGGACAGUAUGUUUCAGUCCGGAUAUUGUUUCGCUGUUUAGAUUUAGACGACUAUUACAAUUCUAUCCAAAUUGAAACAGUCAGAGAAGGAGUAGCAGUUUCAAAUGAGAGAAUUUACAUUCCAGUGACUGCAAUACGAUUACCACCUGCACUUAUAACUGAAGAAUUGCUCGCAAAAAAAUCUCUCAACAAAUCAGUGAGGAUUUCACAAAGUUUUACUCUUGACUGUGGAACUAGAUUGAUAGGAAGUACAUAUAACAUAAAAACUUCCCUUUAUAAUAUCGGAAGUUGUGGUACCUUUUUCAUUUCUUCUGAAUACACCUGGGAAUUUACUAAUGUGCAGGAUAUGAAUCAGAACAAUGAAAUUAUACUUAAUGCUUACGAAGUGUUUCCAGCAUUUUUUUGCCUCCGACAAUUUGAAAAAAUUGCAGUCAGCGUUACAUACAAGCCAAUGUGUGAAGGAUUACAUGUUGAAAAAUUAUUCAUCGUCUGUGAUAAUUUAACUUUAAGAGUAAUUGAUAUGAUAGGAGAGGCUGUCCUUUUUGCUCCGAAUGACUUCUGCAUCAAGGCAUCACCGAAAGAUUUUGACAUCGAUGAGAGUGACUUAUAUGAAGCAUCAAUGUAUAUUAAUUUUGGAACAGUGUAUCCUGGAGGUUCGUCCGAUGGCCACUGCAAAAUAUUCUCCGAGAGCUUGGUUGAUAUUGAGUUCGGUUGGAAUAUAAUUCCAUUAUCAUCUGAAACGGGCGUCAAUACAAUAGAAUCAAAAAAUAUUACGAUUUCUCCUUGCCAAGGAAUUUUAUGCUGUGAUAAUUCACCAGUGAUUGUAUACUUUCAAGUCUGUAUGAACAAUUGCAAACCUGGCCUUUAUAAAUCUGGUUUAACAUUAAUGGCAUACAAUAUACCAAAAAUUUCAGUUGUAAACAAAACAGUUUUGACUUUUCCAAAUGAUUCAAAUCCGAUGCUGUGGACCAAUGUUGAAAUAUGCUAUUUGGAACUAUCCGUGACGGUCAAAAAUCCGUACAUCGUCAUAGACCCAAUCCAUGUCGAUUAUACAGAUUAUAUAUACAAGACUAACUUUUAUUACCUGACAGUAACGAAUAACAGUGCAUACCCUGUCAAUGUAUCUUGGUAUGUUCCACAAUCAAACUCUGUAAUAAUGCACAUAACACCUAAAGAAGCCGAAUUGGAAAUUCAUGCUAUAACACAAUUUACAUUGGAAAUUACUGGUAUUGAAAGUUCACCAAUAGAAGAGGUUCUCCAGUGUUUUGUAGCUCAGGGUAAAAAGACUUUCAAAUGUGUUGUUCAUGGAAAUGUUUUAACAAAAUCAGUAAACUGUCCAUAUUUGGCAUACAGUUACGGAGGGGUUCAGAAUGAAACUGUGAAGUCUUUUCCAAUUUGGUUGAAAGCGGAAAACACCAAUUUGUCAAGUAUGGUGGAUGGUACUGAAAUCACAUCAGUUCUGACAAAAGAAGAAGAUUUGAUAUUUUUGGAAAGUUUUAAGAAUAAUAUUGAAAGUCUUCCUUCACCGAUAGAUGAAAAAGGCCAACAAUUCAAAUAUAACAUGAACACAGAAGAGAAAGGUUUAAAAUCAAGCAUCAUCGAAUGGAGAUAUGGAGACUUUCCAGUCUAUACAGACAUAUUCUAUUUUGUACAAAGCGUGUACGUUGAACUUACCCCUCUUCACUACAUAAUGCCCAGUAGCGUUUAUGUAUACGUCCCACAUGAAAUAACAGUCCAGUUAAGGAACUACAGCUUUUUAGAGGCCUCAUACACUUGGGGUGCAAUGAUAGGUGACGACCUGAAAAACGUUUCACUCAUGGCUGAUAAGUGGAGUGGUAAAAUUUCAGGCCAUUCAGUUGAGAAUAUUCAAUUCAAGCUUAGGUUCGAGACAGCAGGAACAGUGCAUUUUCAAGUACCGUGUACAAUAAAAUUCAUGAAAAAAGCAUUGGUCCUAAAAGUGACAGGUGAAAUUAAAAGUCUGAAUGUUGAAUACUCGUGGAUGUCAAAAGAAGAAAAAGUGAUCAUCCCUUGGCCUUACAUACCUACUAAGCAUGAUGUGUCCAAAGAUACUGGCCCGACAGACCCUAGUUGUUGUGUUUGCAUGACCGGAGCAAAUUUCAAUAACAUGAAGGUUCCUUACGAUCCAAAAGACAUCGCUGAGGAGAAUACACUUAAAUACGUUGACUCCACGACAUCCAGUGUUCCUUAUCUGAAUUGGCCACUAAUUGGUGGAAGAUAUUAUUACGAUAGCUUCAAAAAGAUGGAGCUAUUAGUAGAUUUUAAAUUUCCUUGGACUUUUGAAGAUUUUCUGGCAAGAAUUACUGAUUUUCCUACAACCGAUGAGAAGCAAUUAAUUCUGAAUACCUUCUCUUCCAAAGCGAUAGUCAUCCAUUUAAAAACCUUUGAGGUAAAGACAGCGGUCAUUUCAAUAUCAAAUUUAACCCCUAUCAAAGCUGAGUACUAUUCUGAAGUGAAGGAGUUUUAUGAGAGACAGCCUUUAAAACAUGAAUACACGAUUAUUGAAGGCGUAAAGCACAUUUCUAAAGACUCAAUUGAAAAAGUAUUGAAAAACAGUCACAUAUUGAAAAAAAAUCCAGUAAAAGAAAUGCUGUUGGAUAAGAUUCAAAACAAAGCAGGCUUAGUAUUGGGUUUAUCAAAUUCUAAAGGCAGAUUGGGCGGAUACAGUCAGGUUGACGUUGAACUGACUGCAUUCAGCAAUUGUUGGGGGAUUUAUUUGGACCAUAUAAAAGUAGAUAUAACAGACCUGGAUCCAAUUCAUAUUCCAGUGCUAAUCAAUUCCUCAGGAAAACCAGCUUGGUUUAUGUUCGCCCCUUAUUGCGAUGAACCAUUGCUAAGGUUCGGUGCCUUGUCACCAUUUGAGAAAAAAGAAUUGACAGUUAUGGUUUAUAACAAUUCUUUUCUCCAUUUAAAAAUCGCUUGGUCAGCAUAUACUGAAAUUCCGUUGAGCGAAUUCGAGUCCAACUUCUGCUUGCCAGAUGAACCAGGCCCUUUCAGUCUCAACAUUGAAUUUCAUCCAUCAAAGGAAGAAUCAUUUUGCAGAGUUAAUCUCAUCGAUUAUCUCGGUGAAAUUGAUAAGACCUAUUAUAAAUGUUCCCCUUAUGUAACAUACCUGAAGCCGAAGAGCAAAGCGCCUUUGAAAAUAACAGUCAAUACAACAAGUUGCUGGUUUGACAUAAACAAUUUAGAAAAAGUAUUGCGAGGAGGGAUUUGUGGCGUGAUUUAUAUUGAUUGCGAAAAAGAAAAAUGUUUUAUAGGACAGAUGAUUUGGGAUUCAGCUGUUACAGACCUGAUGGUUUUGAAAUAGACACUUUGUUAUUGAGGCUAGAGGCCAAAGUCACAAUGCCUCUCCUGCAAUUUGUUAAUCCGGAUAAGGAUAGUUUUAUGUUUUUUAUACCAUCCUACAAGAUUGCCCGCGAGCAGAAAAGCUACACUCGGAUCAAAAAAUACCUUCUUCAGAACACUGGUAGCAACACAUGUUUGUGCAAUUUCUCUAUUACUGGUUUGAUGACAAUGAAACAGCUUAGGCUGUACAGUGAAAAAGAUGGCUUUGAAGAAAUUUACACAGAUCUGAGUCCAACAAUUUUUAUAAGGUCCGGUUACUUCGUCGAGUUAUCCCUCCUGUUAGAAAUAACAAAAAGACAAAUGUACACGUACAUGGAUAGAGGAAAAUUAGACAGUAACGUUGCCAUAAGUAAAUCUAGCAGAAAAAAUAAAUCAGUGCAAGACAAUUUGGUUGAUACAUGCAUUGUGAUAAAACAAGGAAAC
Molecule: unclassified non-coding RNA, 4581 nt
Filed under: Cimex lectularius (bed bug)
Lineage: Eukaryota; Metazoa; Arthropoda; Insecta; Hemiptera; Cimicidae
Description: uncharacterized LOC106669651, transcript variant X1
Source: RNAcentral